This 216-nucleotide long non-coding RNA is filed under the name Ricinus communis (castor bean). RNAcentral describes it as "long non-coding RNA (RCOM_LNC002815)". The record is from RNAcentral. Lineage: Eukaryota; Viridiplantae; Streptophyta; Magnoliopsida; Malpighiales; Euphorbiaceae.
GUUGCAUAUGUCCUCUCCCCUUGCACUUGAAACACUCAAUGCUGCUUAUCUUGGGUUUAUGCAUCUCAAAUUGCUUUUCACUCCCUCCUCCCUUGCCCCCAUUAUUAUUGUCAAAUUUAGGCUUGAAGGCGCUUUUGUCUCCACUUUUCCAAUUUCGCUUCCAAUUGGAUAUUGUAGUAGACAAACUAAGCUUGGAAGAUAUUCCCUUCAAUUGCG